Molecule: ribosomal RNA, 200 nt
Filed under: uncultured bacterium
Lineage: Bacteria
Description: partial 16S ribosomal RNA
Rfam family: Bacterial small subunit ribosomal RNA
Source: RNAcentral
AUUGAACGCUGGCGGCAGGCCUAACACAUGCAAGUCGAGCGCGAAAGUCUUCGGAUGAGUAAAGCGGCGAACGGGUGAGUAACGCGUGGGAAUCUGCCCAGUAGUGGGGGACAACAGCCGGAAACGGCUGCUAAUACCGCAUACGCCCGUACGGGGGAAAGGGGGGAUCUUCGGACCUCUCGCUAUUGGAUGAGCCCGCG